Molecule: ribosomal RNA, 1541 nt
Filed under: uncultured Glomus
Lineage: Eukaryota; Fungi; Glomeromycota; Glomeromycetes; Glomerales; Glomeraceae
Description: eukaryotic LSU rRNA
Rfam family: Eukaryotic large subunit ribosomal RNA (bases 762-1541)
Source: RNAcentral
UCGCUCUUCAACGAGGAAUCCCUAGUAAGCACAAGUCACCAGCUUGUGCUGAUUACGUCCCUGCCCUUUGUACACACCGCCCGUCGCUACUACCGAUUGAAUGGCUUAGUGAGGCCCUCGGAUCGACUUUCUGAGACUGGCAACAGUCUUUGAUUGUUGAGAAGUUGGUCAAACUUGGUCAUUUAGAGGAAGUAAAAGUCGUAACAAGGUUUCCGUAGGUGAACCUGCGGAAGGAUCAUUAUUAUUUGGAUAGGGUUUAGCACUAAUUCGUCCUCUGUUGUAUUUGGUGGUAAACCUCUUCCAAAUAUAUUGUUACUCUUUUUUUUUAAAAAAAGGAGCAAGAUGAUAUAUAUUUAAAACCCAACUCUUAUAUAUAAAAUAUGUAUAUUUUUGAAUAAUAAAAUUAAAGAUCACUUUCAACAACGGAUCUCUUGGCUCUCGCAUCGAUGAAGAACGUAGCGAAGUGCGAUAAGUAAUGUGAAUUGCAGAAUUCCGUGAAUCAUCGAAUCUUUGAACGCAAAUUGCACUUUCUGGUAUUUCGGAAAGUAUGCCUGUUUGAGGGUCAGUUAAAUAAAAAUCGGUGUUGUUGCUGCUAUUAGUGGUGAUGCAUCGGAAUUGAGUUGUUCUUUUGCCCUUUGGUAUAAGUGACUUAAAAUUUGUACGAUUUUUUGAACGUAUUUAAAUUAUUUACGUACGUUUAUAAUAUCAUAUAUUAGGUGCGGUCAUUCUUAUGAUUUCGCGCCUAUAAUUUUUUCAUUAUUUGACCUCAAAUCAGGUAAGAAUACCCGCUGAACUUAAGCAUAUCAAUAAGCGGAGGAAAAGAAACUAACAAGGAUUCCCUCAGUAACGGCGAGUGAAGCGGGAAGAGCUCAAAUUUGAAAUCUGGCGCCUUCGGCGCCCGAGUUGUAAGCUAGAGAGGCGUUUUCGGCGGGCACUCGAGUAUAAGUCCUUUGGAACAGGGCAUCAUAGAGGGUGAGAAUCCCGUCUUUGACUCGAAGCAGCCUGCUAUGUGAUACGUCUUCAAAGAGUCGGUUUGUUUGGGAAUGCAGACCAAAAUGGGUGGUAAAUUCCAUCUAAAGCUAAAUACAGGCGAGAGACCGAUAGCGAACAAGUACCGUGAGGGAAAGAUGAAAAGAACUUUGAAAAGAGAGUUAAACAGUACGUGAAAUUGUUGAAAGGGAACCGUUUGGAAUCAGUCUUGUCGGCGAGAAAUCAGCCUGGCCUUGGCCGGGUGCACUUUCUCGUCGGCAGGUCAGCGUCAGUUUUGGCUGCCAGAAAAAGGCCAAGGGAAUGUGGCUCUUCGGAGUGUUAUAGCCCUUGGUCAACGUGGUGGCCGGGACUGAGGCCCGCAGCCAGCCGGUUCUUCCGGCGGGGGGCUCGUACGCUAGCUGCAGGGCCGCCGUGGGACAGCUUGCUGACCACGACGGGAUUUGCAGCUACUCGUAGGAAGCCUCUCCUCCUGGCUAAGGUCGCUGACUUAAUGAUUCCAAAUGACCCGUCUUGAAACACGGACCAAGGAGUCUAACAUGUAUGCGAGUGUU